AGAUAGUGCCAUUGCACUCCCGCUUGAACUACGAGUGAGACUCUAUCUCAAAUAAAUAAAUAAGGCAUACAAAAUUUGAAUUGUUGUAUCUUUUUGGUGAAUUUAACUUUUUAUCAUUAAGUUGUGGCCCUCUUUAUCUGCAAUAACAGUUUUUACCUUAAAGUCUUCCCCCUCGGCCCAAAUUAAUAGAGCUGUUUUCCUUUGGUUUAUAUUUGCCGAGUUUAUAUUUUUCUAUCCCUUUACUUUCAACCAUUUUGUGUGUUUAAGUAUAUCACCUGUAAAUCUCUAUUUUCUUGUUCCUUCUUUUAUUUAUUUAUUUGUCUUUAGAUAUAGAGAUGGGG
Sapajus apella (tufted capuchin) is the source of this 341-nucleotide long non-coding RNA. RefSeq lists it as uncharacterized. Lineage: Eukaryota; Metazoa; Chordata; Mammalia; Primates; Cebidae. The record is from RefSeq and is a predicted model, not a curated record. The transcript has 3 exons.